CUGAGGAUCGUGUCUAUUAUUUUUCACAGGGAAAGGAGGGUUUUAAAACCAGAAAUUAUAAAGCAAAAAGCAAAAACAACCAAGAAACAAAAUGUCCCAGAACGUGGCAGAACAGGUCUGCAAUGCAAAAUCCCUCCAUUGAGAUCUGCAGUUUGAAGUAUUUAUUUUUUUCUCCUGUGUUCCCAGUCACCAGAGAGUGCAAGAAUCAGAGUGCAGAGAGCUUGAAGCAAGGAAAAGUAACAAGACUUAAAGCAAUUUACCUGCUGAAACUGAGAAGAUAUUGUCAACGUACGCAGUCUGAGAUAAAGCAAAGCAGAAGAAAAGCUGCAGAAGCUGAACAUCAUGCAGAAUGGGUGAUGCUUCUUGAAUGAGGUGCACUCACCACACAUGCUCACAAGUCUGCACAGAAUCAAGAGAUACAUCGAGGACUGCCAGACCAAGAAGGUGGUCUGUUGCCUGGCUAAUGAGGCUUUCAUACCUAAAUCCCUGCAGCUGUGUCUCCUUGCUGUAAGAAGGAUGCACUGCUUUGGCUAGAACUUGAAGUGUGCCUGCAAGUCCACCAGCAUUGGUAUCAGCACCUCACAAUCCCAAGGUCUACAAAAUGCCAUAUGUGUACAUGAUCUUAACAACAGGGCCAAGGAGACAGAUGACAAGUUCUUCAAACGCUUCAAAAAAGUGCCAACUUUUAAUACUUUUAAUGUGCUGAUUUCAUUAGAGGGACUUAUCUCUGGACACUGUGGAGCAGCUCUAGCUUGGAUGAGUGCCUGUGGGUAUGUUGACACUGCAGUCACCACUGCAGCUGCAAGGUGAUGCAGAGGUAUGCAAAUCUGCUGUAGCCACCAUAAAGAGAGAAGAAAGCCCUCUCAGCCCAACAAUCUGGUUCUCAAAUAGGCUUGCAGGUUCUGCUGUUUCAUGCUGCAACAGCUACAGCUAGUCAUCGCACAAAAUUCAUGCCCAGAAAUAAGCGAUUGCUUUCUGGGAGCUUAUGUUGUCGUAUAGACUGGAGGUGUAAAAAGGCUUAUAUGAGUCUUUUACUAUCUUCCUUAUGUGGUAGCAUUACCAACACUAAGUACUAGAGGAAAUCUCCCAUCAGCUACGUGGAAGAUGUUCUAAACUGCAGACAUUCACAUGGCCAUGGUCAUUUACACAACCCUAGACAGGCUGUUAAUCCAUUUCUUCAACUCUGAAAUACAGCAAUUCAAAUCUUGUCUUUGAAAGCAUCCUUCCUCUGCAUCCACUUUAGAAUUUGAUCCAAGGUAUUACACAACUAAUUGCUAACUGGAUUGUCCAGACUGCUUGUAACUGUCAAAAAAGUAGAAAAAUUCCAAUUAAACUAUUUUAUGCAACCUUUUCAGUAGUAUGCUUCCUUAUCUUCUAUAUCACCCCCUUUAAAAGACUGAUGAAAACAAAAAUUUAAGAGUAUUAACUCAAGCAGGAAAACUGUCAUUCUAUUAAUUUCUCUUACUUAUUUCUGCAUUAUUUCAGGCAGCCUAGAGAUUCCUGGAAAGAACAGACACCAAAAUAAUUCUCAUUUAUAUUAGUGUGGGCCAUAAUUAGCUGAAAGGGCUGCUUUACUGAGGGCCUCUUUAAACCUUGUCCAUCUGGUUUCAAUCAAAUCAUCAAAAGAAACAGCAAAUGUCUCUGUCAGAAUAGCUGUUUCUUACUAACUACAAUAUUCAGUUAAAGGUAAGUUAGUUGACAGGAGUUGCACUGCCUGUAUGUCAAAGGCAAUCACCUCUGAUACCUGGUCUGACCUCAAAAUAUCACUGAGUAGGUGAGUGCCAAGCACCUUUCUCUACUAAGCACAGUCAUCAAGCUCUUUAAAUAGCAUAAAAGAGCUGCAAUUGGGAUUUUGAUUCCAACAUAUAAAAGAAUGACGUAGUCAGGGCAGAAGUCCCUUACAUUUCCUAACAGGACUUUCACUGUAGCUUACAGUCACUGUGUGCUAAUUUCUUGGGUAGAGUGGCAGGCCUGAUGAUGCAUGGGUGCUUGUUUUAAGUGUAUUUGGGAUUUUGCAUGCAUGCUUAAAAACCAAAUCUUGCCUGACCCAGUAUUCAUCUGGUUCUUCAUGAAAAUGGGUAUAUGCUACACGGCCACAACUGAAGGCAAGCAUGCAUGACAUACACCCAAAUGUUCACAUGGCAGACAGUUUACGGAAUUUACUGCAGACUAAAGGUGAAACAUAAUUGUUAAAGUAAUUACUGCAAACUAAACCCAUUAGCAAGCUGAGUGCACCAAGAAGCUGCAGGAACACCUGCUCAACACCUUAUGCUAUCUUGUGUGGUGCUGAAACAGUAACAAACCUUCCUUCUCAUCCCUUAUACCUGGCCAUUUCACUGUUUCACCUGUGGUCCCAUAGUUAAAUUACCUGCUGAGUUUUGGACAUCUGUGAUGCUUUUCCUGUACCACUUGUUCCUCCCAGGUUCCAACCCCUUUCACGCAUGCCAGUGUCCUCUCUUUGGAGAGGACAAGUGCUGCUGGCCUGAACUUCUGGGUUCCCCAAGCACAUGAACUGAGCAGGCCCCUGUAAGAAAAGUUUUCACAGCAACUACUACACUAAUGACCGAUGGAGGUCAACCAUAGCAGGUAUAGCAAAAUUUAAAAUAUUCUUUAUUUACCUGAAAGCCACAAGACUCAGAACUGUGUCUUAUUUAACCACUAACUUCUGGUAUGUCUCAGAAAAUUACACUCAGUACCUCUUCCACAGCAUCUUCUCUCAGCUGAGGGGGCCCAUGCAUUUCCUUCCUCUUGAAUUUGGUGUCUUCAGUCUGUUCAAUACCUUUAAUUCUGUGCUCUGGCCUUGAAGAAAAAUUUCCAGUUGGCUAAAGCCACAUGGGUAAGCAUUCCCCAGACUUAUGACAUCUGUAAUUUUUGGUUCCUUUUAAUAAAAUUAGGACACUUCAGAGGUAGCUUGUUUUUGUCUCCUCUCUGAACCUGUUUUCUUUCACUCCGAUGCAAUCCCAUGGUGUAACACAUAGUAUCAAUUAGCCUCUUCCACCACUCCGAAUUAGAAGGAUAUUUCAAUGGUCUUUUGCUGAAUUCUUCUAAGAGCUGGAACAACAUUGAAAUGUUGCAGAGAUUUCUUUCAACAUAUUUAAAAAAAAAAAAUUACCAUGAGCAUCAAGAAUAAUGUUAUCAAGAAAGAUCCCAGCACAAUCACAGUAACACUAAUUAGAAUGUUUAACAUCUCAUUUGGGAAUAGACUGGAUGCACAGCAUGAAUAUGUUGCCUGAAAAAUUUUUUUUUUUUUUUUUUUUUUUUUUUUUUUUAACUGGUAUGUGACUUUAUAUAAAUCAGAGGAAAUUAAGGUCAAAACAGGACACCUGACAUUACGUUACCUGCUUAGUCACAGCGCUUAUGUCACCUAAUAAAAUUGCAGCUGGCCUCACAUUAUUCCCCAGCUCUUCCGCACAAAUAUCGAUCUAUAUUUCAAAAAGAAAGACCACCAUUAACGCAAGGAUAUUAAAGAGGUUUGGUUUUUUUUUCCCAGUUCAAGUGAGGAACAUUGUUCAGCAAUAUCUUCAUACUGUCUUUUGGCUGUACAGAUAACUUCCUCUGCCUUUCAUUGAAAUGACAUCAGGAAAUCCUUUAUUCAAAGUAAAAUACUAUGGUACAUACCUAUUUUAAUAACAGUUCAUAUAUAUCCUUAAAA
Molecule: long non-coding RNA, 3652 nt
Organism: Athene cunicularia (burrowing owl)
Lineage: Eukaryota; Metazoa; Chordata; Aves; Strigiformes; Strigidae
Exons: 4
Source: RefSeq, a predicted model, not a curated record